UACUAUUACAUAUUACCCCAGGCCUGACUGUGUCACCAUUAAGCAAUAUAUAUUAUUCAAGAACCUUUAGUAUUAUGGAUCACUUGUCUCUGUCUCUCUCAAGCUUAUGCUUCAGUACUGACGUCAUCAAGUAUUUCAUUGAAUCCAAUUCAAGUUUCAAGCUAUGAAGUAUCAAGAGCAAAGGACUAUUAUAUGCAUGACCAAACAUUGUUGUAUUGUUGUGUGUUAUUUAUUUCUUUAAA
Molecule: long non-coding RNA, 242 nt
Organism: Amphimedon queenslandica
Lineage: Eukaryota; Metazoa; Porifera; Demospongiae; Haplosclerida; Niphatidae
Exons: 3
Source: RefSeq, a predicted model, not a curated record